UACGGCUCAGUAACACGUGGACAACCUACCCUUAGGUCAGGGAUAACCCCGGGAAACUGGGAAUAAUACCUGAUAUGGCGCGAAGGCUGGAAUGCAUCGCGCAAGAAAGCUCCGGUGCCUAAGGAUGGGUCUGCGGCCUAUCAGGGUAGUAGUGGGUGUAACGUACCUACUAGCCUACGACGGGUACGGGUUGUGAGAGCAAGAGCCCGGAGAUGGAUUCUGAGACACGAAUCCAGGCCCUACGGGGUGCAGCAGGCGCGAAAACUUUACAAUGCCGGCAACGGCGAUAAGGGAACCUCGAGUGCCAGGAUACAAUCCUGGCUGUCGUAAUGCCUAAAAAGCAUUUCAUAGCAAGGGCCGGGCAAGACCGGUGCCAGCCGCCGCGGUAACACCGGCGGCUCGAGUGGUAACCGUUAUUAUUGGGUCUAAAGGGUCUGUAGCCGGCUGGGUAAGUCUCUUGAGAAAUCCGGCAGCUCAACUGUCGGGCUUUCAGGAGAUACUGUCCGGCUCGAGACCGGGAGAGGUGAGAGGUACUUCAGGGGUAGGGGUGAAAUCUUGUAAUCCUUGAAGGACCACCAGUGGCGAAGGCGUCUCACCAGAACGGAUCUGACGGCAAGGGACGAAAGCUAGGGGCACGAACCGGAUUAGAUACCCGGGUAGUCCUAGCCGUAAACGAUACUCGCUAGGUGUCGGCCACGGUGCGACCGUGGUCGGUGCCGUAGGGAAGCCGUGAAGCGAGCCACCUGGGAAG
This 751-nucleotide ribosomal RNA is filed under the name uncultured Methanosaeta sp. RNAcentral describes it as "bacterial SSU rRNA". It matches the Rfam family "Archaeal small subunit ribosomal RNA", at positions 84 to 835 of the family's 1478-position model. Lineage: Archaea; Methanobacteriati; Methanobacteriota; Methanomicrobia; Methanotrichales; Methanotrichaceae. The record is from RNAcentral.